Molecule: ribosomal RNA, 497 nt
Filed under: uncultured bacterium
Lineage: Bacteria
Description: partial 16S ribosomal RNA
Rfam family: Bacterial small subunit ribosomal RNA
Source: RNAcentral
GAUGAACGCUGGCGGCGUGCCUAAUACAUGCAAGUCGAGCGAACGGACGAGAAGCUUGCUUCUCUGAUGUUAGCGGCGGACGGGUGAGUAACACGUGGAUAACCUACCUAUAAGACUGGGAUAACUUCGGGAAACCGGAGCUAACACCGGAUGAUAUUUUGAACCGCAUGGUUCAAAAGUGAAAGACGGUCUUGCUGUCACUUAUAGAUGGAUCCGCGCUGCAUUAGCUAGUUGGUAAGGUAACGGCUUACCAAGGCAACGAUGCAUAGCCGACCUGAGAGGCUGAUCGGCCACACUGGAACUGAGACACGGUCCAGACUCCUACGGGAGGCCGCAGUAGGGAAUCUUCCGCAAUGGGCGAAAGCCUGACGGAGCAACGCCGCGUGAGUGGUGAAGGUCUUCGGAUCGUAAAACUCUGUUAUUAGGGAAGAACAUAUGUGUAAGUAACUGUGCACAUCUUGACGGUACCUAAUCAGAAAGCCACGGCUAACUACGUG